RNAcentral lists this ribosomal RNA (178 nucleotides) under uncultured bacterium. RNAcentral's name for it is "partial 16S ribosomal RNA". It matches the Rfam family "Bacterial small subunit ribosomal RNA", at positions 1322 to 1500 of the family's 1533-position model. The record is from RNAcentral.
GAAGCUGGAAUUGCUAGUAAUGGCAGGUCAGCAUACUGCCGUGAAUACGUUCCCGGGCCUUGUACACACCGCCCGUCACACCAUGAGAGUUGGAAAUACCCGAAGCCUGUGAGCUAACUUUUAGAGGCAGCAGUCGAAGGUAGAGCCAAUGAUUGGGGUGAAGUCGUAACAAGGUAUC